This 2247-nucleotide ribosomal RNA is filed under the name Triticum aestivum (bread wheat). RNAcentral describes it as "partial small subunit ribosomal RNA". The record is from RNAcentral. Lineage: Eukaryota; Viridiplantae; Streptophyta; Magnoliopsida; Poales; Poaceae.
AUGGGGACGCGCCACCUCAUCACCGGCCAGAACAACUGCGCCCCGGACGGGGCAUCCUCCUCCAACCCAUUCGGCGCCCUCGCCAACACCCUCCUCGGCCAGUCCAGCAAAGCGGAGUCACUAAAGGGACUUCCUGGAGCCUCAGUUAAUGUUCCAACUACGUCUGAUUAUAGCACAGCUCCACUGUCUACUGUCCCUGGCUCUGAGAAUGAGUUCAAGCAAGAUCAACGACCAUUUGCACGGGGUGCCGACUUCAUGCGUGGGGGUCCUGCUAAUGAUUGGGUUGAAUCUUUUCGCCCUCCGGGGCAUUCUACAUUUGGAGGGCCAGAAACAAACUUUGCAGAGUUUGAGCAAAUUUAUAACAAUGCAGGCCCUACCUUCGGACCGGCCUUGGAUGGUCCGCCACAAAGGGUCUUAUCUGGUGUUCUGCAUUCUUUUCUUUCAAGUGGCCGAGCUGGUGUGCCAUUUCAACCUGUCCCAGUACCAGCUCUUGGUUUGUCCGAAGCCGACAAACAAUGUAUACGUGAUCGCAGCUGCAUAAUGGCACGCCAUAUUUUGGCCGAUCAACCUGAAGAAUAUAUACAAGCACAGGUGAAUACACUGCUGCAUUCUCUUGAUAUUGACAAUAGUCAUCGAAUGAAAAAUCCCCUGCAUGGGCCGUACCCAGAGAUGGAGGAGUACUGGAAUCAGUCCCAAAGUGCUUUGAGAUCUGGCCCAAUGCACAAUGCUGCAAAUAAUUGGAUUAGUGAGUUCGGCAAGCAAAACAAUAACCCUGAGGGUUGGAUCACUGAGUUUGGCAAGCAGAAUAAUAACCCUGAGGGUUGGGCGCACUCUUUUGAGCAGCAAUAUGGUCCCAAUGGAUGGGCCUCUGAGUUUGAACAGCAUCAGUCUCAGAUGGCCAUGGGUCAGAUGGGAGGAGCGAACAUGGCGAAUCUCGCAGCUAUGCAGCAAUCCCGUAUGCUUGCAGAAACAUUAUCAAGUAACAAUGACCCAAAGUUCCAGAAUUCUAAAUUCUUCCAGUUUGUUUCAAAGAUGAGCCGUGGUGAACUUAUUAUAGAAGAUAACCAAGUAAAACAAGGUUCAGCAUCCCAAUCCAAUGGCUGGGCUGAUGAAUUUCAAACACAGCAUAAUGCUAAUGCAAAUUCUUGGGCAGAUCAGUUUGUGCAUGAAGAGCUUUCACAAGGGGCCGAUAAUUGGGUUAGUGAGUUCUCUAGUGAACAGAAUCAGAGUGGGCUCAAAGAGAAGUGGGUCGAUGAGUUCUCCAAAUUGAAUAUGGAUGAUUGGGCAGAGGAGUUCAGUGGAGGAGCUUUUGGUGAGAGCUCUGCUGAUCCAUGGGCAGAUGAGUUUCAAAACCAACUGUCAGCUUCCAAAAGUUCUGGCGCUUCUCGAGGGGUUUAUGUUUUUUCCGAGAUGAACCCAUAUGUUGGUCACCCUAAUCCAAUGCAGGAAGGGCAGGAGCUCUUUCGGAAGGGCCUCUUAAGUGAAGCUGCUCUUGCUCUGGAGGCUGAAGUUUUAAAGAACCCUGAUAAUGCUGAAGGUUGGAGGUUGCUUGGAGUAACACAUGCUGAAAAUGAUGAUGACCAGCAGGCCAUAGCUGCAAUGCUGCGUGCCCAGGAGGCCAAUCCUACCAACUUGGAAGUUCUUCUUGCUCUUGGUGUCAGUCACACAAACGAGUUGGAACAGGGAGAAGCAUUAAGAUAUCUUUCGAGAUGGCUUCAGAAUCAUCCAAAGUAUGGAGCUCUUGCCGCUCCCCACCAAACUGAUUCACCAUAUGGUCCAGAUGUUGUUAGAUUGUUUAAUGAAGCUGCUCAGAUGUCGCCUGAGGAUGCUGAUGUCCACAUAGUUCUGGGUGUCUUGUACAACUUAUCAAGAGAAUAUGAUAAAGCUAUAGCUUCAUUUAAGACGGCACUACAGCUGAAACCACAAGACUAUUCUCUCUGGAACAAGCUCGGUGCGACCCAAGCAAACAGCAUCCAGAGCGCUGAUGCCGUACUGGCAUACCAGCAGGCUCUAGAUUUGAAGCCCAACUACGUCCGUGCGUGGGCUAAUAUGGGAAUUAGCUAUGCCAACCAGGGUCUGUACGAGGAUUCCAUUCGGUACUAUGUAAGGGCGGUUUCCAUGAAUCCAAAAGCAGACAAUGCCUGGCAGUACUUGAGAAUUUCACUUGGUAAUGCUUCACGCAGUGAUAUGAUUGCUGCAUGUGAUUCCCGCAACCUUGAUGUCCUUCAGAAAGAGUUUCCCCUCUGA